CCUACGGGAGGCAGCAGUAAGGAAUAUUGGUCAAUGGAGGCAACUCUGAACCAGCCAUGCCGCGUGCAGGAAGAAGGCCCUAUGGGUCGUAAACUGCUUUUGUACCAGAGAAAACCCGAGUACGUGUACUCGGUUGAUAGUAUGGUAAGAAUAAGCAUCGGCUAACUUCGUGCCAGCAGCCGCGGUAAGACGAAGGAUGCAAGCGUUAUCCGGAUUCAUUGGGUUUAAAGGGUGCGUAGGCGGACUGAUAAGUCAGUGGUGAAAUCUCUCGGCUUAACCGAGAAACUGCCAUUGAUACUGUUAGUCUAGAGUAUAGAUGACGUUGGCGGAAUAUGACAUGUAGUGGUGAAAUACUUAGAUAUGUCAUAGAACACCGAUUGCGAAGGCAGCUAACGAAACUAUAACUGACGCUGAGGCACGAAAGUGCGGGGAUCAAACAGGAUUAGAUACCCUGGUAGUCCGCACCGUAAACGAUGAUUACUCGUUGUUGGCAAUAUGACCGUCAGCGACCAAGCGAAAGCGAUAAGAAUCCACCUGGGGAGUACGCCGGCAACGGUGAAACUCAAAUGAAAUUGACGGCNGAGAGAGACGACGACGACGACGAGGGAGGAGG
Molecule: ribosomal RNA, 613 nt
Filed under: uncultured bacterium
Lineage: Bacteria
Description: bacterial SSU rRNA
Rfam family: Bacterial small subunit ribosomal RNA
Source: RNAcentral